RNAcentral lists this long non-coding RNA (409 nucleotides) under Panax ginseng (ginseng). RNAcentral describes it as "long non-coding RNA (PGIN_LNC002182)". The record is from RNAcentral. Lineage: Eukaryota; Viridiplantae; Streptophyta; Magnoliopsida; Apiales; Araliaceae.
CCUGUUUACCCAACUCAACUCUGCAUGGCCGUCAACGUACUCUUUCUCAAAUUCUUCAUCAUUACACACAUUUUCUCUCUCCUCAUUAUAAUACACCAUGAAUUUCCCUCUCGUAACCCCGUCAGUACUGCCCACCGUAGAAGCUAACGGAGCCGUCGUUGUGGCCUUCACUCCUUCAAUCGGAUUCCAAGUCAAAUCCGAUUCUACUUCCAGUAACUCAGGCUGCAAUGGCGGCGACACCAUUUUUGUCGAAUCCGGGUUGCAGAAGAGAGAGAAAGCAAGAGAGAAUGUGGGCCGUUGGAUCAGAAAGUGGGGAGGGGAAUCUUUGUAUAAGAUGCCUAGAAUAAUCGAGAGGACGAUGCUAAUGGGUCUGGAUAGAUCCGUUAUUUAUUCUGGAAUUUUAUGCAGU